GGUAUAGCGGAGGAGUGAGUGUAGUGUCGUCACGGGGCUAUCAAUGCGCAGAAGAAGUGUUUCACGCUUGGGGGCGGAGGGUCUUGCGGCUCUGCGCCCCCUCAUCCUAGGAGGCAAGUGUCUUGCGCGUUGCAUUUCGGUGCUUGCGCUUGACCGACCCUCCCGGGCGUACUGAACACCGGCGUGAAUUGCGCCAAGGAACUUGAAUGAAAGAGCGUUUCCCCCGCCGUCCCGGAGACGGUGCUCGUGCGGGUGGUUUCGUCGUCUUCAAUAUGUCUAAACGACUCUCGGCAACGGAUAUCUCGGCUCUCGCAUCGAUGAAGAACGUAGCGAAAUGCGAUACUUGGUGUGAAUUGCAGAAUCCCGUGAACCAUCGAGUCUUUGAACGCAAGUUGCGCCCGAAGCCAUUAGGCCGAGGGCACGUCUGCCUGGGCGUCACACGUCGUUGCCCCCCCCCACCCUCCUCGGGAGUUGGAUGGGACGGAUGAUGGCCUCCCGUGUGCUCAGUCACGCGGUUGGCAUAAAUACCAAGUCCUCGGCGACCAACGCCACGACAAUCGGUGGUUGUCAAACCUCGGUUGCCUGUCGUGCGCGCGUCUUGAUCGAGCCUUUCGUGGACAAUGUGGGUCGAACUGUCGCACGUCACCCACUCAGCGCAGACAUGAGAAAAUAACUUC
Molecule: ribosomal RNA, 677 nt
Filed under: Rosa rugosa (rugosa rose)
Lineage: Eukaryota; Viridiplantae; Streptophyta; Magnoliopsida; Rosales; Rosaceae
Description: eukaryotic LSU rRNA
Rfam family: 5.8S ribosomal RNA (bases 283-438)
Source: RNAcentral